RNAcentral lists this ribosomal RNA (484 nucleotides) under uncultured bacterium. RNAcentral describes it as "bacterial SSU rRNA". It matches the Rfam family "Bacterial small subunit ribosomal RNA", at positions 30 to 506 of the family's 1533-position model. The record is from RNAcentral.
AUUGAACGCUGGCGGCAUGCCUUACACAUGCAAGUCGAACGGCAGCACGGGAGCAAUCCUGGUGGCGAGUGGCGAACGGGUGAGUAAUAUAUCGGAACGUGCCCAGUCGUGGGGAUAACGUAGCGAAAGCUACGCUAAUACCGCAUACGAUCUAUGGAUGAAAGCGGGGGAUCGCAAGACCUCGCGCGAUUGGAGCGGCCGAUAUCAGAUUAGGUAGUUGGUGGGGGUAAAGGCUCACCAAGCCAACGAUCUGUAGCUGGUCUGAGAGGACGACCAGCCACACUGGAACUGAGACACGGUCCAGACUCCUACGGGAGGCAGCAGUGGGGGAAUUUUGGACAAUGGACGCAAGUCUGAUCCAGCCAUUCCGCGUGCAGGAUGAAGGCCCUCGGGUUGUAACUGCUUUUGUACGGUAACGAAAGGUUUACUAUUAAUACUAGGAGCUCAUGACGGUACCGUAAGAAUAAGCACCGGCUAACUACGU